UACACCGCAGGACGUUGAAAUACGUCUAUUGAGUGGAAAUCGUACCGAUGCAGGCAGGGUCGAGUAAGUUAUUCCGAAAGACCUUGAGGUGAUAAGA
This 97-nucleotide non-coding RNA is filed under the name unclassified sequences. Its description in RNAcentral is "RT-4 RNA". It matches the Rfam family "RT-4 RNA". The record is from Rfam by way of RNAcentral.